Molecule: ribosomal RNA, 254 nt
Filed under: uncultured prokaryote
Description: partial 16S ribosomal RNA
Rfam family: Bacterial small subunit ribosomal RNA
Source: RNAcentral
UACGGAGGGUCCAAGCGUUAUCCGGAAUUACUGGGCGUAAAGAGUUGCGUAGGUGGCAUAGUAAGCAGGUAGUGAAAUCGUGUGGCUCAACCAUACUCACAUUACUUGAACUGCUAAGCUCGAGGGCGAGAGAGGUGACUGGAAUUCCUUGUGUAGGAGUGAAAUCCGUAGAUAUAAGGAGGAACACCGAUGGCGUAGGCAGGUCACUGGCUCGUCCCUGACACUAAGGCACGAAAGCGUGGGGAGCGACCGGG